Long non-coding RNA from Meriones unguiculatus (Mongolian gerbil), 2016 nucleotides. RefSeq lists it as uncharacterized. The record is from RefSeq and is a predicted model, not a curated record. NCBI's taxonomy places the organism in Eukaryota, Metazoa, Chordata, Mammalia, Rodentia, Muridae. The transcript is spliced from 2 exons.
CGAAACCGGGGAGUCUUGAGUGCAAGCCCUGCCCCUUUAAAAGUGAAACCUAGGCGGUUGGCUAUUCCGUGUCCAGUCAGCAAUCCCACGCCAAAGCAUCACGGGUUUGCACGAGUCUCUUUGUCACAUCUGACAACAUAGAUGCUGCGGGAAGCCAGGACAGUCUGAACGACAGCGUGAGACUCUGUGUCUGGAAGAUGGGGACUGCAGGGAAGACUGAAACGCUGCAUACAAUCACGGAAAACACUUGUAGCCACAAAUCUAAUUUCAAGAUACGAAAUUAAGAUGAUGGAUAAUUGCAAAAGCAAGGAUUAUUGGAUGUGAAUGCAACAGAACUGUACAAAGAAACAUUGGAAGAUGGCUGGGUGGAGUGACCAUAUCUCACUAGCACAAACUCUGAAAAAAAAAAAGUAAAUAUAAUGUAAUUAUUUUCUGCCCAUGAGGUAAUAUGAUACCACUUGACGCUUGACUGCAACAGGCUAAGACAGGAAGCAGAGCUUGAUGACACUCUGCAGUCCUAACUGCUCCAGUGUCUACAGCAAGAGAGUGGCAUAAGCCUCAAAGUUCGGCCUGAAGCCUGGACAAUAGAGUAAGACCCCAUCUUAAGAAGUAAGUUUAGUAUAAACUCUCCAAACCACUAGAGAAUUUCAACUAAUGGAGUAAUAUGGUGACAAGGGGGAAAAAUCAUCCCAAAGAAGAAAGAACAAAUGAAAAAAAUAAAAGACAAUAAGAUAACAUAUAUACACCUAAUUAGUGUAAAUAUACUAAUCUGCAAUAAAAUGCAGAGAAUGUCUAGAUUUGGAAGCAAGGGCCCUUUCUUCUCUACAGCUGCGAAAAUGGCUUUGCCUUCAAAAAACAACCAGUUCAGAAAAUCCAAGGUGAUGGCCAUAGGGACACUGAAAAGCACAAGACAGGCUCAGCACCCCUUCUUGACUCCCAUAAUGGACUGUCUCCAGACUAGAGACAGAAAGACCUGGGCUUGGUACAUAAAAUGUAAACAAGCAAAAAAUCAAAACCUAUAAUCAGCCUCACACAUAGUGAAAGACUACUACUUGCCCCUAAAAUGAGAAGCUAGAUUCUCAUGUUCAGUCUUUACUUCUGCUUAUUCCUUCACCUGUGGCCCUCACUCCGAGCAGUAAUCCCAGGGGCUAUCCAAGGGAGGUAUGCUGGCACACACCUGUGAGCUCUUGCUGAGACAAGAGGAUUAGGAGUGUGAGGUCGACUUGAGCUACAUAGUGAGGCCUUAUCACAAAAAAAGGAAAAAAAGGAGAAGUUUAGAUUGGAGGGGAGAAGUAGAAUGUUCCCUGUUUGUAAAGGACAUGCCAACUGUGUAGACACUUCUGUGUCCACUAUGACUUGUAUGUUCUUGGCAAGAUAAAAGACCACAAUGUGAAGAUCCAUCACAGCAGGAACUACAAAAAGCUGACUGACACCAUGGAAUGGGCACCACCAUUUUGGAAAUGUUUCACAGGUUCUUGAAGAAUUCGGCCUGUAUCUGAUACAUGCUCUGGCCCACCCACCACCAACAGAAAGGAAGGCCCACAAAAGAUAUCUGUGUAGAUGUUCGCAGCAGCGUUAUUUCCAACUGAGCCAGGCAGUGUUUGGAAGGGGAAUCCGUGUGAAGGCCCUGAGAGGGCAAGAGGCCGUGAGAGGCCAUUGCAUGAAACUGAUGGUGAAACUGGGUUGCAAUGAACACUCCAGAAUGUUGGAGAUGCUAAGCAACGAUGCAUCUGUCAAGGACAGUCAGGGAUUGGAACCAUCCCCAAGAGAGAUGUAAGUUGGAGGCAGCAAAACUGAAGGAGCUGAGCCAUCUAAGCCCUUUAAAACUGAAUUCCUAGGCACCAGACACAGAACUUUAGGAUUUAGGGUUUUCCUUAUUGGGCUCCAGUCUUGCUUUCAUCCAGUAUUUCCCACCACACCCCCAUUCCUCCCCUUUGGAGUGGUAAUGUAUAUUCUAUGUCCUUGUACAUCGUUAUGUACAUACCUAUGUGUAUAUAAUAUAAAACUACCUUUUGA